AGGACGAACGCUGGCGGCGUGCUUAACACAUGCAAGUCGAGCGGAAAGGCCCUUCGGGGUACUCGAGCGGCGAACGGGUGAGUAACACGUGAGUAACCUGCCCCAAACUUUGGGAUAACCCUCGGAAACGGGGGCUAAUACCGAAUAUUACUUCUGGUCGCAUGGCUGGUGGUGGAAAGUUUUUCGGUUUGGGAUGGACUCGCGGCCUAUCAGCUUGUUGGUGAGGUAAUGGCUCACCAAGGCGAGGACGGGUAG
RNAcentral lists this ribosomal RNA (255 nucleotides) under uncultured bacterium. RNAcentral's name for it is "partial small subunit ribosomal RNA". It matches the Rfam family "Bacterial small subunit ribosomal RNA", at positions 26 to 286 of the family's 1533-position model. The record is from RNAcentral.